Molecule: ribosomal RNA, 514 nt
Filed under: uncultured bacterium
Lineage: Bacteria
Description: partial 16S ribosomal RNA
Rfam family: Bacterial small subunit ribosomal RNA
Source: RNAcentral
GAUGAACGCUGGCGGCGUGCCUAAUACAUGCAAGUCGAGCGAACAGAUGAGAAGCUUGCUUCUCUGAUGUUAGCGGCGGACGGGUGAGUAACACGUGGGUAACCUACCUAUAAGACUGGGAUAACUCCGGGAAACCGGGGCUAAUACCGGAUAAUAUUUUGAACCGCAUGGUUCGAUAGUGAAAGACGGUUUUGGCUGUCACUUAUAGAUGGACCCGCGCCGUAUUAGCUAGUUGGUAAGGUAACGGCUUACCAAGGCGACGAUACGUAGCCGACCUGAGAGGGUGAUCGGCCACACUGGAACUGAGACACGGUCCAGACUCCUACGGGAGGCAGCAGUAGGGAAUCUUCCGCAAUGGGCGAAAGCCUGACGGAGCAACGCCGCGUGAGUGAUGAAGGUCUUCGGAUCGUAAAACUCUGUUGUUAGGGAAGAACAAAUUUGUUAGUAACUGAACAAGUCUUGACGGUACCUAACCAGAAAGCCACGGCUAACUACGUGCCAGCCGCCGCGGUAA